Molecule: long non-coding RNA, 754 nt
Filed under: Coturnix japonica (Japanese quail)
Lineage: Eukaryota; Metazoa; Chordata; Aves; Galliformes; Phasianidae
Description: lncRNA (ENSCJPG00005005952.1)
Source: RNAcentral
AUGUACAUCCAGUCUGAACUCAAGGUGGUGUUACUGCCAAGCACGCGUCUCUUUCAGCAGGUCCCAGGUCUGUUUAUACCAGAGCACUGUUCCAGCUCAGUGAACCUAAGCACAACCUUCUGUUUCUCUGUGACAUCGUCAGUGACAGAAGGAGCAACUUCUAAGAAUGCAAGAAGGAUUUACCACUGCUGUGCAGGUGCAAGCUCCGCUCUGCUUCCAAACAAAAUAUUUCCUAAAACAACAUUCAGGAAAAGCGAUCUCAGAGAAGCAGCAAGAGAAGAAAUCUAUGAGCUCAAUGGUUUCAAAUUUGACUUAGAACUACUUCAGGAAGAGCUUCAAAACAGACAGAUCGUGAAGCCAACUGCAAGUGACCCAAUUAUGUCCUAGAGGAGAAUUAUUUUGAGAGCCACUGCUACAAAGGGAAUGCUCAGCUAUUGUAGUCAGAAUAACUUUCAGCCCGGGGCUGAAGUGACAGCAGCAGCCUCUGGUACUCCUCCAAAUCAGCCCUUUCUAUUUGGUCUUUGGUCUGUCAACUGCCAUAAGCCCCACUGAGUAUCCCAGGAGCUGGCUGGCAAGAGGUGCUGCUGCACAUCCUGGUUCAGCUUGAAAGUCAUCAAAACUUUCUGAAGCUCCUUUUCCCAAUCAUUACCUACAUACAAACUCAGCAAUGCAAAGCUUUGCAUCAAACAAAUGCAGAUAAACACUUUAAAACAGCAGCAGUUAUAGUCUCUCCCACCCAGUAUAGCAGAUAGCU